CAGCCGCCACGGUAAUACAGAGGAUGCAAGCGUUAUCCGGAAUGAUUGGGCGUAAAGCGUCUGUAGGUGGCUUCUCAAGUCCGCCGUCAAAUCCCAGGGCUCAACCCUGGACAGGCGGUGGAAACUACCAAGCUGGAGUACGGUAGGGGCAGAGGGAAUUUCCGGUGGAGCGGUGAAAUGCGUAGAGAUGUGGAGGAACACCAGUGGCGAAGGCGACUCUCUGGUCUGUAACUGACGCUGAGGAGCGAAAGCGUGGGGAGCGAACAGGAUUAGAUACCCCAGUAGUCCCUGUCUCUUAUAC
Molecule: ribosomal RNA, 301 nt
Filed under: uncultured bacterium
Lineage: Bacteria
Description: partial 16S ribosomal RNA
Rfam family: Bacterial small subunit ribosomal RNA
Source: RNAcentral